GACAGAGGUGGCGAGCGUUGUUCGGAAUUACUGGGCUUAAAGGGCGAGUAGGUGUCCCGACAAGUCGGAUGUGGAAGCUUUUUGCUUAACAGAAAAAUUGCAUCCGAAACUGUUAGGAUUGAGUCAGUGAGGGGAGGGCGGAAUUCCUGGUGUAGCGGUGAAAUGCGUAGAUAUCAGGAGGAAGGCCUGUGGCGAAGGCGGCCCUCUGGUACUGGACUGACGCUGAGGCGCGAAAGCGUGGGGAGCAAAC
This 250-nucleotide ribosomal RNA is filed under the name uncultured bacterium. Its description in RNAcentral is "partial 16S ribosomal RNA". It matches the Rfam family "Bacterial small subunit ribosomal RNA", at positions 524 to 773 of the family's 1533-position model. The record is from RNAcentral.